RNAcentral lists this ribosomal RNA (253 nucleotides) under uncultured bacterium. Its description in RNAcentral is "partial 16S ribosomal RNA". It matches the Rfam family "Bacterial small subunit ribosomal RNA", at positions 524 to 776 of the family's 1533-position model. The record is from RNAcentral.
UACGUAGGGGGCAAGCGUUGUCCGGAAUCAUUGGGCGUAAAGAGCGUGUAGGCGGUCCGGUGAGUCGGUUGUGAAAGUCCAGGGCUCAACCCUGGGAUGCCGAUCGAUACUGUCGGACUAGAGUUCGGAAGAGGCGAGUGGAAUUCCCGGUGUAGCGGUGAAAUGCGCAGAUAUCGGGAGGAACACCAAUGGCGAAGGCAGCUCGCUGGGACGUUACUGACGCUGAGACGCGAAAGCGUGGGGAGCAAACAGG